Molecule: ribosomal RNA, 257 nt
Filed under: uncultured bacterium
Lineage: Bacteria
Description: partial 16S ribosomal RNA
Rfam family: Bacterial small subunit ribosomal RNA
Source: RNAcentral
AUCUGGCUCAGGAUGAACGCUGGCGGCGUGCUUAACACAUGCAAGUCGAACGGGAAACUUUUCAUUGAAGCUUCGGCAGAUUUGGUCUGUUUCUAGUGGCGGACGGGUGAGUAACGCGUGGGUAACCUGCCUUAUACAGGGGGAUAACAACCAGAAAUGGUUGCUAAUACCGCAUAAGCGCACAGGACCGCAUGGUCCGGUGUGAAAAACUCCGGUGGUAUAAGAUGGACCCGCGUUGGAUUAGCUAGUUGGCAGGG